CUUCCGUAGGGUGACCUGCGGAAGGAUCAUUACCGAGUGUAGGGUUCCUAGCGAGCCCAACCUCCCACCCGUGUUUACUGUACCUUAGUUGCUUCGGCGGGCCCGCCAUUCAUGGCCGCCGGGGGCUCUCAGCCCCGGGCCCGCGCCCGCCGGAGACACCACGAACUCUGUCUGAUCUAGUGAAGUCUGAGUUGAUUGUAUCGCAAUCAGUUAAAACUUUCAACAAUGGAUCUCUUGGUUCCGGCAUCGAUGAAGAACGCAGCGAAAUGCGAUAACUAGUGUGAAUUGCAGAAUUCCGUGAAUCAUCGAGUCUUUGAACGCACAUUGCGCCCCCUGGUAUUCCGGGGGGCAUGCCUGUCCGAGCGUCAUUGCUGCCCAUCAAGCACGGCUUGUGUGUUGGGUCGUCGUCCCCUCUCCGGGGGGGACGGGCCCCAAAGGCAGCGGCGGCACCGCGUCCGAUCCUCGAGCGUAUGGGGCUUUGUCACCCGCUCUGUAGGCCCGGCCGGCGCUUGCCGAACGCAAAUCAAUCUUUUCCCAGGUGACCUCGGAUCAGGUAGGGAU
This 561-nucleotide ribosomal RNA is filed under the name Aspergillus flavus. Its description in RNAcentral is "eukaryotic LSU rRNA". The stretch from base 215 to 368 matches the Rfam family "5.8S ribosomal RNA". The record is from RNAcentral. Lineage: Eukaryota; Fungi; Ascomycota; Eurotiomycetes; Eurotiales; Aspergillaceae.